Molecule: non-coding RNA, 26 nt
Filed under: Homo sapiens (human)
Lineage: Eukaryota; Metazoa; Chordata; Mammalia; Primates; Hominidae
Source: RNAcentral
UGAUUCACUGAGGUGACUAGAUGGGU